This 484-nucleotide ribosomal RNA is filed under the name uncultured bacterium. RNAcentral describes it as "partial 16S ribosomal RNA". It matches the Rfam family "Bacterial small subunit ribosomal RNA", at positions 30 to 507 of the family's 1533-position model. The record is from RNAcentral.
AUUGAACGCUGGCGGCAGGCCUAACACAUGCAAGUCGAGCGGAUGAAGGGAGCUUGCUCCUGGAUUCAGCGGCGGACGGGUGAGUAAUGCCUAGGAAUCUGCCUGGUAGUGGGGGAUAACGUCCGGAAACGGGCGCUAAUACCGCAUACGUCCUGCGGGAGAAAGUGGGGGAUCUUCGGACCUCACGCUAUCAGAGGAGCCUAGGCCGUAUUAGCUAGUUGGUGGGGUAAAGGCCUACCAAGGCGACGAUCCGUAACUGGUCUGAGAGGAUGAUCAGUCACACUGGAACUGAGCCACGGUCCAGACUCCUACGGGAGGGAGCAGUGGGGUAUAUUGGACAAUGGGCGAAAGCCUGAUCCAGCCGUGCCGCGUGUGUUACGAAGGUCUUCGGAUUGUAAAGCCCUUUAAGUUGGGAGGAAGGGCAGUAAGUUGAUACCUUGCUGUUUUGACGUUACCGACAGAAUAAGCACCGGCUAACUUCGUG